UACAGAGGUCUCAAGCGUUGUUCGGAUUCAUUGGGCGUAAAGGGUGCGUAGGUGGCGCCGUAAGUCAGGUGUGAAAUUUCGGAGCUCAACUCCGAAACUGCAUUUGAUACUGCGGUGCUUGAGGACUGGAGAGGAGACUGGAAUUCACGGUGUAGCAGUGAAAUGCGUAGAUAUCAGGAGGAACACCAAUGGCGAAGGCAGCUCGCUGGAACGGUACUGACGCUGAGGCGCGAAAGCGUGGGGAGCGAACAGG
Molecule: ribosomal RNA, 253 nt
Filed under: uncultured bacterium
Lineage: Bacteria
Description: partial 16S ribosomal RNA
Rfam family: Bacterial small subunit ribosomal RNA
Source: RNAcentral